GACGAACGCUGGCGGCGUGCCUAACACAUGCAAGUCGAACGACAAAGCAGUGCUUGCCUUGGGGCAAAGCAGGGAACGGGGGAGUAACACGUGGGUAACCCAUCCCCAUAACUUUGAGAACCCGUCGAAACACGGGCUAUAAUCGCAUGUGCUCACUGCACUUCGGUUGAGUGCGUUGGGGAAUCUUCGCCCUCCGGAUUGGGAGGGCCCCGUGGCCGAUUGGUUUGUUGGUGGGGUAAUGCCCCACCAAGACCGGGAUGGGUGCCUGGUGGGAGAGCAGGGUCAGCGACACUGGAACUGAGACACGGCCCAGGCUACUGCGGGAGGCAGCAGUGGGGAAUGUUGGGCAAUGGGCGGAAGCGUGACGCAGCGACGCCGCGCGGGAGAAGAAGGCCCUCGGGUUGGAAAGCCCUUUUAGGGGGGACGAAGGUUCGGCGGUUAAUACCCGGCGGGACUGACGGUACCUCCACAAGAAGCCCCGGCUAACUACGUG
RNAcentral lists this ribosomal RNA (493 nucleotides) under uncultured bacterium. RNAcentral describes it as "partial 16S ribosomal RNA". It matches the Rfam family "Bacterial small subunit ribosomal RNA", at positions 28 to 507 of the family's 1533-position model. The record is from RNAcentral.